AUCCGUGGCUACAGAACGACGCUGGCGGCAUGCCUAACACAUGCAAGUCGAACGAGAUCUUCGGGUCUAGUGGCGCACGGGUGCGUAACGCGUGGGAACCUGCCUUUAGGUUCGGAAUAACUCAGAGAAAUUUGAGCUAAUACCGGAUAAUGUCUUCGGACCAAAGAUUUAUCGCCUUUAGAUGGGCCCGCGUUGGAUUAGCUAGUUGGUGGGUAAAGGCCUACCAAGGCGACGAUCCAUAGCUGGUCUGAGAGGAUGAUCAGCCACACUGGGACUGAGACACGGCCCAGACUCCUACGGGAGGCAGCAGUGGGGAAUAUUGGACAAUGGGCGAAAGCCUGAUCCAGCAAUGCCGCGUGAGUGAUGAAGGCCUUAGGGUUGUAAAGCUCUUUUACCAGGGAUGAUAAUGACAGUACCUGGAGAAUAAGCUCCGGCUAACUCCGUG
RNAcentral lists this ribosomal RNA (445 nucleotides) under uncultured bacterium. RNAcentral describes it as "bacterial SSU rRNA". It matches the Rfam family "Bacterial small subunit ribosomal RNA", at positions 32 to 507 of the family's 1533-position model. The record is from RNAcentral.